This 381-nucleotide ribosomal RNA is filed under the name uncultured bacterium. Its description in RNAcentral is "bacterial SSU rRNA". It matches the Rfam family "Bacterial small subunit ribosomal RNA", at positions 28 to 405 of the family's 1533-position model. The record is from RNAcentral.
GAUUAACGCUAGCGGCAGGCCUAAUACAUGCAAGUCGAACGGCAGCACGGGUAGCAAUACCUGGUGGCGAGUGGCGCACGGGUGAGUAACACGUAUGCAAUCUACCUUUAACUGGGGAAUAACCCUUCGAAAGAAGGGCUAAUACCGCAUAACACUUCGGGAGGGCAUCCCCCUGAAGUUAAACCUACCGGGAGUUAAAGAUGAGCAUGCGUCCGAUUAGUUAGUUGGUGAGGUAAUGGCUCACCAAGACUUCGAUCGGUAGGGGGUCUGAGAGGAUGAUCCCCCACACUGGUACUGAGACACGGACCAGACUCCUACGGGAGGCAGCAGUAAGGAAUAUUGGACAAUGGGCGCAAGCCUGAUCCAGCCAUGCCGCGUGCA